GAGUAUGGAACAGCAACGGAGACCAAGGCCAUGGAGGAGAAUUGCUCCCCAAAAAAGAUUUGCGACAAGUACCAUGCAAUUCAUAGGGAGGUUUAUAAAUGGUUUAAUAUAAGUUUUGAUGAAUUUGGACGUACGUCAACUCCACAGCAAACUGAAGUUUGCCAGGCCAUUUUUAAGAAGUUGUUAGAGAACAAAUGGCUUUCUGAGAGCACAAUGCAGCAGCUAUUCUGUGAUACAUGCCAAAGGUUUUUAGCUGACCGGCUUGUAGAGGGUACUUGUCCAACUGAAGGAUGUAAUUAUGAUUCUGCUCGAGGAGAUCAAUGUGAAAAGUGUGGGAAGUUGUUGAAUCCAACAGAGUUAAAAGAUCCUAGGUGCAAGGUUUGU
This 384-nucleotide unclassified non-coding RNA is filed under the name Hevea brasiliensis (rubber tree). The record is from RNAcentral. Lineage: Eukaryota; Viridiplantae; Streptophyta; Magnoliopsida; Malpighiales; Euphorbiaceae.